Camelina sativa (false flax) is the source of this 694-nucleotide non-coding RNA. NCBI's taxonomy places the organism in Eukaryota, Viridiplantae, Streptophyta, Magnoliopsida, Brassicales, Brassicaceae. The record is from RefSeq and is a predicted model, not a curated record.
CAUGAUCAUAAGCUAGUGAAUUUGAGAUCGCUGGAGGAGGAGUAUCUGUAUCUUAACCUUCAUUAUAUGAUAGUUGCUACACUGAAAACUGACAAGGUGCGUGUUGGCCGAGCCAAGUGAAGAGCCCCCAGCUGAUGUUUGUUCUGUUGACUGGUGGACUCGAGGAAAGAUGCCGCUUGCAGAGCUAAAUUCAAAGGCUAAGGUUUGAUUUUUUUCCUCUGUUUUCUAUCUUUGGUCAUUGUAGCUGAAACCAAAGACUGAUUUUGGAGUUGUGAUGUUGAUUGAGAGUCAUUGGCAAGUUCCCUUGCGCUUAGGAUGGCUGGUGUUACGAGUUUAACGAAAGAUCCAGUUGGUGGAACCAUAAUGAGGAUGCCUAGUGGCGAGCCGACAGAUCUUUUGAUAGAUGCUGCUAUGGAGCUUGUCACUCCCUGGGUUAAAGAAAUCUCUGUAGAAGAACGUAGGGAAGCACUUAUAAGAGCUAGCAAAUAUGCUUUGACUAGAGGCGUAACAACUGUCGUUGAUCUUGGAAGAAGAUGAUGAUAGGGACUUGCUUGUUUUUCCCGACAACGACAUGGUCACGCUUAAUGGUAUGAUUUCUUCAGAAGCAACUCUUGUUCUCUGAUAGAGUAUAUGUACAAUCAGUUUUGUGCUGCUUUACAUGAGAAACUUAAGCAUAUUUUAUAGCAUUCUUCAA